CGAGUUAGCGUGGAUCGCCCCGUACGUGGGGCUGGACGGCGCUAAUGCGUU
Molecule: microRNA precursor, 51 nt
Organism: Oreochromis aureus
Lineage: Eukaryota; Metazoa; Chordata; Actinopteri; Cichliformes; Cichlidae
Source: Ensembl